CCGGCCUAACACGUGCAGUCGACGGUAACAGGAAGAAGCUUGCUUCUUCGCUGACGAGUGGCGGACGGGUGAGUAAUGUCUGGGAAACUGCCUGAUGGAGGGGGAUAACUACUGGAAACGGUAGCUAAUACCGCAUAACGUCGCAAGACCAAAGAGGGGGACCUUCGGGCCUCUUGCCAUCGGAUGUGCCCAGAUGGGAUUAGCUAGUAGGUGGGGUAACGGCUCACCUAGGCGACGAUCCCUAGCUGGUCUGAGAGGAUGACCAGCCACACUGGAACUGAGACACGGUCCAGACUCCUACGGGAGGCAGCAGUGGGGAAUAUUGCACAAUGGGCGCAAGCCUGAUGCAGCCAUGCCGCGUGUAUGAAGAAGGCCUUCGGGUUGUAAAGUACUUUCAGCGGGGAGGAAGGGAGUAAAGUUAAUACCUUUGCUCAUUGACGUUACCCGCAGAAGAAGCACCGGCUAACUCCGUGCCAGCAGCCGCGGUAAUAA
This 492-nucleotide ribosomal RNA is filed under the name uncultured bacterium. Its description in RNAcentral is "bacterial SSU rRNA". It matches the Rfam family "Bacterial small subunit ribosomal RNA", at positions 43 to 526 of the family's 1533-position model. The record is from RNAcentral.